CUUUUUAAGAUGCUUCUUGUUUUAUUUAAUUUAACUCUAAUUAGUACCCCUGUUGAGCAUGCGCCAGUGUCUACCAGCUCUGCCUCUGCUCCUGUGCCAGUUGCUUCAGCCAAUCAGCCUGCUACUGCUACUCAAAACACAUCCAGUCAGAUGACACCACCAUCAGCCACUCCCAUCUCUGUAGUACAAGAUUCCUUCUCUUCCUCUUUCCAAAGCUUCAACCGGCAUUCUUCCACCUCCAUCAGCUACCAGUCAAAAAAGAGAGGUACGGGCCAGUCCUAUACAUCAACACCGGUUUCCCAGGGUACCGCUUCUUCCUCAGGCUACAGUGAAAGUCCAGUUCCUGCUCCAAAACCAAGAGUUGUCACUACUGCUAGCAUAAGGCCCUCUGUCUACCAGCCAGGUAAGGUGAUUUCAAAAAGGUGAAAGGGUCCAUACCAAUGUCCAGUAGCAUU
Molecule: long non-coding RNA, 455 nt
Filed under: Terrapene triunguis (Three-toed box turtle)
Lineage: Eukaryota; Metazoa; Chordata; Testudines; Emydidae
Description: Terrapene carolina triunguis (Three-toed box turtle) lncRNA (ENSTMTG00000001253.1)
Source: RNAcentral